AGAACCCCGCGGGGUCUGAGCAGCCCAGCGUGCCCAGUCCAGCGCCCGCGUCCCCGCAGCAUGUCGCGCCCCCGCCUGCUGGCCGCGCUGUGCGGCGCGCUGCUCUGCGCCCCCAGCCUCCUCGUCGCCCUGGAGUGCGUCGAGCCACUGGGCAUGGAGAAUGGGAACAUUGCCAACUCACAGAUCUCCGCCUCAUCUGUGCGUGUGACCUUCUUGGGUUUGCAGCAUUGGGUCCCGGAGCUGGCCCGCCUGAACCGCGCAGGCAUGGUCAAUGCCUGGACACCCAGCAGCAAUGAUGAUAACCCCUGGAUCCAGGUGAACCUGCUGCGGAGGAUGUGGAUAACAGGUGUGGUGUUUGCUGUCUGCCCACCCUUGACCCAGGGCAUUCUGGUUGAUAGAGAAAAAGACAUCAGUUUUCAAAGUAUUUUCCCUUCUUCUGGUUGGCUCCCCUCCUGUAGCUUCUAGAACAUGUAGCGUUAGGUGUGUUUGGCAGAUGUCAGCUUUACAAGGGCAGAGAAUUUGUCUGUUUUG
RNAcentral lists this small RNA (531 nucleotides) under Pongo abelii (Sumatran orangutan). RNAcentral describes it as "processed transcript". The record is from RNAcentral. Lineage: Eukaryota; Metazoa; Chordata; Mammalia; Primates; Hominidae.